CCGAAGCAACUAGCCCUGAAAAUGGAUGGCGCUGUAGCGUCGUGCCUAUACUCUGCCGUCAACGGCAAAGCGGGCGGCCCCUCUCGGGGCGUCGCCGUUAAGCCUUGACGAGUAGGAGGGUCGCGGCGGUGUGCGCGGAAGGGUCUGGGCGCGAGCCCGCCUGGAGCCGCCGCCGGUGCAGAUCUUGGUGGUAGUAGCAAAUACUCCAGCGAGGCCCUGGAGGACUGAUGUGGAGAAGGGUUUCUUGUGAACAGCUGUUGCACAAGAGUCAGUCGAUCCUAAGCCCUAGGAGAAAUCCGAAGCGAUGGUCUGCCGUUAAAAAGUUUUCGUGUCUAGAGCUCCGCGCGCUAGCGCGCGGGCCUUGCACUGCGAGCUGCUGGCACCUUCUGGGCGAAAGGGAAUCCGGUUCCUAUUCCGGAACCCGGCAGCGGAACCGCUCCAAUUCGGGCCCUCAUCCGAGGACUCGUCGGGGUGACCCGAAAUGACCCGGAGAAGCCGUAGGGAGGUCCGGGGAGAGUUGUCUCUUCUCUAUAAGCGUUCGAGUUCCCUGGAAGCCUCUAGGAGGGAGAUAGGGUUUGGAACGCGAAGAGCACCGCACUUACGGCGGUGUCCGGAUCUUCCCCUCGGACCUUGAAAAUCCGGGCGAGGGCCACGAGGAACACCGCGCCGGCUCGUACCCAUAUCCGCAGCAGGUCUCCAAGGUGAAUAGCCUCUAGUCGAUAGAAUAAUGUAGGUAAGGGAAGUCGGCAAACCCGAUCUGUAACUUCGGGAUAAGGAUUGGCUCUGAGGAUCGUGGCGCGCCGGGCUUGGUCGGGAAGUGGAGCGGUGCCAACGUGCCGGGCCUGGGCGAGGUGAAAGGCGCUCGUCGUCUGGACCCUAGCUCGGUCCCGUGCCUUGGCCACCCACGGACCUUCCUUGCUGCGAGCCUCCCGGCUGUCUAGUUUCCGGCCCAGCCGGAGGACGGGCCGGAAUGCUCUUCGGCCGCCAUAGAACGAUCAACUUAGAACUGGCACGGACCAGGGGAAUCCGACUGUCUAAUUAAAACAAAGCAUUGCGAUGGCCCCAAGGGGUGAUGACGCAAUGUGAUUUCUGCCCAGUGCUCUGAAUGUCAACGUGAAGAAAUUCAAGCAAGCGCGGGUAAACGGCGGGAGUAACUAUGACUCUCUUAAGGUAGCCAAAUGCCUCGUCAUCUAAUUAGUGACGCGCAUGAAUGGAUUAACGAGAUUCCCACUGUCCCUACCUACUAUCUAGCGAAACCACGGCCAAGGGAACGGGCUUGGAAAAAUCAGCGGGGAAAGAAGACCCUGUUGAGCUUGACUCUAGUCUGGUACUGUAAGGAGACAUGAGAGGUGUAGCAUAAGUGGGAGGCGGGCUCGCCCGUCGACAGUGAAAUACCACUACUUUCAUAGUUUCCUUACUUACUCGGUGAGGCGGAGGGCGUCCGCCGGAGUGUCUGCACUCCGGCGCGACGGUAUUCUCGCGCCAAGCGCCAAGGGUUGUCGGCGGCCGGUCGGACGUGGUGAGGCCCGCGGCGGUCCGCUUCGCGGCGGUUCUGCCGUGCGCGUCGUCGCUGCGCUCUUGGUCGCGCCGUCCGGCAACACACUCCCUAGCGUGAUCCGAUCCAAGGACACUACCAGGCGGGGAGUUUGACUGGGGCGGUACAUCUGUCAAAUAAUAACGCAGGUGUCCUAUGGUCAGCUCAGCGAGGACAGAAACCUC
This 1719-nucleotide ribosomal RNA is filed under the name Mozena lineolata. Its description in RNAcentral is "partial large subunit ribosomal RNA". It matches the Rfam family "Eukaryotic large subunit ribosomal RNA", at positions 1297 to 2693 of the family's 3401-position model. The record is from RNAcentral. Lineage: Eukaryota; Metazoa; Arthropoda; Insecta; Hemiptera; Coreidae.